UGGGGAAUUUUGCGCAAUGGGCGAAAGCCUGACGCAGCAACGCCGCGUGGAGGAUGAAGGUCUUCGGAUCGUAAACUCCUGUCAGUGGGGACGAAUGCUUCGCAAGAAGUUUGACUGUACCCGCUGAGGAAGCCACGGCUAACUCCGUGCCAGCAGCCGCGGUAAUACGGAGGUGGCAAGCGUUGUUCGGAAUUACUGGGCGUAAAGGGCGCGUAGGCGGUUUUGCAAGUCAGAUGUGAAAGCCCCGGGCUUAACUCGGGAAUUGCAUCUGAAACUGCUUAACUUGAGUCCUGGAUGGGGUAGUGGAAUUCCCAGUGUAGCGGUGAAAUGCGUAGAUAUUGGGAGGAACACCUGCGGCGAAGGCGGCUACCUGGACAGUGACUGACGCUGAGGCGCGAAAGCUAGGGGAGCGAACGG
Molecule: ribosomal RNA, 417 nt
Filed under: uncultured bacterium
Lineage: Bacteria
Description: bacterial SSU rRNA
Rfam family: Bacterial small subunit ribosomal RNA
Source: RNAcentral